Molecule: ribosomal RNA, 253 nt
Filed under: uncultured bacterium
Lineage: Bacteria
Description: partial 16S ribosomal RNA
Rfam family: Bacterial small subunit ribosomal RNA
Source: RNAcentral
GACGAACCGUGCAAACGUUGUUCGGAAUCACUGGGCUUAAAGGGCGCGUAGGCGGCUUGCCAAGUCAGGGGUGAAAUCUUUCGGCUUAACCGGAAAAGUGCCUCUGAUACUGGCAGGCUAGAGGGAGGUAGGGGCAUGUGGAACUUCCGGUGGAGCGGUGAAAUGCGUUGAUAUCGGAAGGAACGCCGGUGGCGAAAGCGACGUGCUGGAUCUCUUCUGACGCUGAGGCGCGAAAGCUAGGGGAGCGAACGGG